This 431-nucleotide ribosomal RNA is filed under the name uncultured bacterium. Its description in RNAcentral is "partial 16S ribosomal RNA". It matches the Rfam family "Bacterial small subunit ribosomal RNA", at positions 29 to 507 of the family's 1533-position model. The record is from RNAcentral.
AACGAACGCUGGCGGCAGGCUUAACACAUGCAAGUCGAACGCCCCGCAAGGGGAGUGGCAGACGGGUGAGUAACGCGUGGGAACAUACCCUUUCCUGCGGAAUAGCUCCGGGAAACUGGGAUUAAUACCACAUACGCCCUACGGGGGAAAGAUUUAUCGGGGAAGGAUUGGCGCGCGUGGGAUUAGAUAGUUGGUGGGGUAAAGGCCUACCAAGGCGACGAUCCAUAGCUGGUCUGAGAGGAUGAUCAGCCACAUUGGGAGUGAGACACGGCCCAAACUCCUACGGGAGGCAGCAGUGGGGAAUAUUGGAAAAUGGGCGCAAGCCUGAUCCAGCCAUGCCGCGUGAGUGAUGAAGGCCUUAGGGUUGUAAAGCUCUUUCACCGAUGAAGAUAAUGACGGUAGUCGGAGAAGAAGCCCCGGCUAACUCCGUG